GACGAACGCUGGCGGCGUGCUUAACACAUGCAAGUCGAACGGAAGGGCCCUGCUUGCCGGGUACUCGAGUGGCGAACGGGUGAGUAACACGUGGGUGAUCUGCCCUGCACUUCGGGAUAAGCUUGGGAAACUGGGUCUAAUACCGGAUAGGAACCAUCUUUAGUGUGGUGGUUGGAAAGUUUUUUCGGUGUAGGAUGAGCUCGCGGCCUAUCAGCUUGUUGGUGGGGUAAUGGCCUACCAAGGCGGCGACGGGUAGCCGGCCUGAGAGGGUGUACGGCCACAUUGGGACUGAGAUACGGCCCAGACUCCUACGGGAGGCAGCAGUGGGGAAUAUUGCACAAUGGGCGCAAGCCUGAUGCAGCGACGCCGCGUGGGGGAUGAAGGCCUUCGGGUUGUAAACUCCUUUCGCUAGGGACGAAGCUUUGUUGUGACGGUACCUAGAUAAGAAGCACCGGCUAACUACGUG
Molecule: ribosomal RNA, 466 nt
Filed under: uncultured bacterium
Lineage: Bacteria
Description: partial 16S ribosomal RNA
Rfam family: Bacterial small subunit ribosomal RNA
Source: RNAcentral